AUACGGAGGUUCCAAGCGUUGUUCGGAAUUACUGGGCGUAAAGGGAGCGCAGGCGGACAGGUCAGUCUGAAGUGGAAAUCCGGGGCUCAACCUCGGACUUGCUUCGGAUACUGCCUGUCUUGAGUUCGUGAUAGGAAGAUGGAAUUCAGGGUGUAGCGGUGAAAUGCACAGAUAUCCUGAGGAACACCGGUGGCGAAAGCGGUCUUCUGGCACGAAACUGACGCUGAGGCUCGAAAGCGCGGGUAGCAAACGGGAUUAGAUACCCCGGUAGUCCGCGCCGUAAACGUUGUGUACUAGGUGUAGGAGGUAUCGACCCCUUCUGUGCCGCAGCUAACGCAUUAAGUACACCGCCUGGGGAGUACGCGCGCAAGCGUGAA
This 377-nucleotide ribosomal RNA is filed under the name uncultured bacterium. RNAcentral describes it as "bacterial SSU rRNA". It matches the Rfam family "Bacterial small subunit ribosomal RNA", at positions 523 to 898 of the family's 1533-position model. The record is from RNAcentral.